UUGAAAAACUAUAUUAGUUUUUUAUAUCCCAUUGUUUUAUCUACCCUGUUGCUUCUACUGGACUGUUUUACUUGAGAGGUAAGAUUUAUCUCUAGGUAAAACCUCAGGCUUGUGUGAACCACACUCGCCAGAGAGCUGCCAGUAGCAAGACCACUUGUUAAAACUUGUUGUGAAAUAUAUAGUCUGAAUUUUGUGUCUUGAAAAUGAAAUA
This 211-nucleotide unclassified non-coding RNA is filed under the name uncultured Peziza. RNAcentral's name for it is "sequence contains ITS1". Lineage: Eukaryota; Fungi; Ascomycota; Pezizomycetes; Pezizales; Pezizaceae. The record is from RNAcentral.